GUUAAUCCUUCCUGUAAACUGGCCGGUUUAGAGUGCUCGGGAAGUGUGCCUUGGAGUUAAAGAUUUGGGGAGUUAAUGCCAAAGAUAGGAGAACGCACCACGUAGUAAAAUUCAACAUAUGGAGAUUCACAGUUACCUAAUGUAGUCCUCCUGGGCUUAUUUAUGGCAACGUGACUGAAGGCAGGAGAUACUCAUAGGCAUCUGAAAGGAUUAGAAGAUUCAGCAAUUCGUUAAUAUGAGCUCGUCCCACCAAGAGGUAACCAGUGUGACAAGACUCAAACAAGCAAAAUGAAAAUGGCAAGGGCCGUAUAGACCGACAAAUUUCACAGAAUUGUAAAUUAAUGAUAGGGAAUUGGAUUGGGUCAGAGUGAGCAAUUUAUCUUAUUUGGCUUUGAUUUGGAUAUUGCAAUUUGAUGGUUGCCAGUGCCCAGAGUAAUUGUUAUCUUCCCUGAGCCUGUUUUAAAAAAAAA
This is a non-coding RNA of Vicugna pacos (alpaca), 470 nucleotides long. The record is from RefSeq and is a predicted model, not a curated record. Lineage: Eukaryota; Metazoa; Chordata; Mammalia; Artiodactyla; Camelidae.